RNAcentral lists this ribosomal RNA (206 nucleotides) under uncultured bacterium. RNAcentral describes it as "partial 16S ribosomal RNA". It matches the Rfam family "Bacterial small subunit ribosomal RNA", at positions 568 to 774 of the family's 1533-position model. The record is from RNAcentral.
AGCGUAGACGGUGUGGCAAGUCUGAUGUGAAAGGCAUGGGCUCAACCUGUGGACUGCAUUGGAAACUGUCAUACUUGAGUGCCGGAGGGGUAAGCGGAAUUCCUAGUGUAGCGGUGAAAUGCGUAGAGAUUAGGAAGAACACCGGUGGCGAAGGCGACUUUCUGGACGAAAACUGACGCUGAGGCGCGAAAGCGUGGGAGCAAACA